AAGUCGUAAACAAGGUUUCCGUAGGUGAACCUGCGGAAGGAUCAUUAUCGUAGGGCUUCGGCCCUGUCGAGAUAGAACCCUUGCCUUUAUGAGUCACCCGUUCCGUUUCCUCGGCAGGUCCGCCCUUGCCGAUGGACCCAAACCAACCCUUUUAUUACCUGUAUCAGUCUGAAAAAAUAAACAAAAAUUAAAA
RNAcentral lists this unclassified non-coding RNA (193 nucleotides) under plant metagenome. Its description in RNAcentral is "partial contains small subunit ribosomal RNA and internal transcribed spacer 1". The stretch from base 1 to 47 matches the Rfam family "Eukaryotic small subunit ribosomal RNA", at positions 1786 to 1831 of the family's 1831-position model. The record is from RNAcentral.